AGCUUCAGUAGCGUAUAUUAAAGUUGUUGCAGUUAAAAAGCUCGUAGUCGCAUUUCUGGCGAGAGGAUCCGGUCCGACCUUUUGGUGGGUUCUUGGGUCUCUUUCGCCAUCCUUGAGUGGUCCGUUCUGGCAUUAGGUUGUCGGAGCGUCAGCCGCUCAUCGUUUACUGUGAGAAAAUUAGAGUGUUCAAAGCAGGCUUAUGCCGUUGAAUAUAUUAGCAUGGAAUAAUAAGAUAGGACCUCGGUACUAUUUUGUUGGUUUGUGCACCAAGGUAAUGAUGAACAGGGACAGUUGGGAGUAUUUGUAUUUCGUUGUCAGAGGUGAAAUUCUUAGAUUUACGAAAGACAAACUACUGCGAAAGCAUUUACCAAGGAUGUUUUCA
RNAcentral lists this ribosomal RNA (382 nucleotides) under uncultured marine Chaetocerotaceae. RNAcentral describes it as "SSU rRNA". It matches the Rfam family "Eukaryotic small subunit ribosomal RNA", at positions 587 to 972 of the family's 1831-position model. The record is from RNAcentral. Lineage: Eukaryota; Bacillariophyta; Thalassiosirophyceae; Chaetocerotales; Chaetocerotaceae.